GGGUGUGAGGGUCAUCUGGCUGUGACGUCUGUCACCCCACUGAUGGCCAGGGUUGAUUCGGCUGAUUUGGCUGGCUAGGCAGGUAUCUCCUUCCUCCCUCACUGCUCCAUGUGCGUCCCUCCCAAAGCCACGUGCUGGUGGAAAAGGACGGCCUUCCCUGAAUAGAGACGGACCGGCCUUCGGUUGAGGGUAUAUGAGAAGCUGAACUCCCCUGCUAGAACUUUCAAAUAUGCUCACAAGACCACAGAGAUUUAAAUAAAUUAAUAAAUAAAUAACUGAAAAUAAAAAAGAGAGAAGGAAUUGCAUUUCACUGAGAUCU
Unclassified non-coding RNA from Erinaceus europaeus (western European hedgehog), 319 nucleotides. Its record names the gene 7SK. It matches the Rfam family "7SK RNA". From Rfam's summary of the family: 7SK was discovered as an abundant small nuclear RNA in the mid-70s but a possible function has only recently been suggested. Two independent studies have found that 7SK RNA binds the CDK9/cyclin T complex (known as elongation factor P-TEFb). The record is from Ensembl. NCBI's taxonomy places the organism in Eukaryota, Metazoa, Chordata, Mammalia, Eulipotyphla, Erinaceidae.